This 503-nucleotide ribosomal RNA is filed under the name uncultured bacterium. Its description in RNAcentral is "partial 16S ribosomal RNA". It matches the Rfam family "Bacterial small subunit ribosomal RNA", at positions 30 to 523 of the family's 1533-position model. The record is from RNAcentral.
AUUGAACGCUGGCGGCAGGCUUAACACAUGCAAGUCGAGCGGGGUGAUGGUGCUUGCACUAUCACUUAGCGGCGGACGGGUGGGUAAUGCUUAGGAAUCUGCCUAUUAGUGGGGGACAACAUCUCGAAAGGGAUGCUAAUACCGCAUACGUCCUACGGGAGAAAGCAGGGGAUCACUUGUGACCUUGUGCUAAUAGAUGAGCCUAAGUCGGAUUAGCUAGUUGGUGGGGUAAAGGCCUACCAAGGCGACGAUCUGUAGCGGGUCUGAGAGGAUGAUCCGCCACACUGGGACGGGGACACGGCCCAGACUCCUACGGGAGGCAGCAGUGGGGAAUAUUGGACAAUGGGGGGAACCCUGAUCCAGCCAUGCCGCGUGUGUGAAGAAGGCCUUAUGGUUGUAAAGCACUUUAAGCGAGGAGGAGGCUUACCUAGUUAAUACCUGGGAUAAGUGGACGUUACUCGCAGAAUAAGCACCGGCUAACUCUGUGCCAGCAGCCGCCGUAA